UACGUAGGGUGCGAGCGUUACUCGGAAUUACUGGGCGUAAAGCGUGCGCAGGCGGUUAUGUAAGACAGAUGUGAAAUCCCCGGGCUCAACCUGGGAACUGCAUUUGUGACUGCAUAGCUAGAGUACGGUAGAGGGGGAUGGAAUUCCGCGUGUAGCAGUGAAAUGCGUAGAUAUGCGGAGGAACACCGAUGGCGAAGGCAAUCCCCUGGACCUGUACUGACGCUCAUGCACGAAAGCGUGGGGAGCAAACAGG
RNAcentral lists this ribosomal RNA (253 nucleotides) under uncultured bacterium. RNAcentral's name for it is "partial 16S ribosomal RNA". It matches the Rfam family "Bacterial small subunit ribosomal RNA", at positions 524 to 776 of the family's 1533-position model. The record is from RNAcentral.